CGACGUACUUCCUCUUCUGUCAGUUCUGAAAAGCUACCAGACUCAGUGAGAGGCAAGGACUUUUCAUCUUUAGGGCAUUCUGACCACGUCCUGCUUCAGAGAGAUUGUUCCCGGCGUCUCAGUGCUAUGGGGAGCAGGUUCCUCCUGGUCCUGCUCUCAGGUCUCACUGUCUUACUGGCUCUGCCAGGAUCAGAAGCCAAGAAUUCUGGAGCUUCCUGUCCUCCAUGCCCUAAAUAUGCCAGCUGCCACAACAGCACCCACUGUACUUGUGAAGAUGGCUUUCGGGCCAGGUCUGGCAGGACAUACUUUCAUGAUUCCUCUGAGAAGUGUGAAGAUAUUAAUGAAUGUGAAACCGGGCUGGCAAAGUGCAAGUAUAAAGCAUAUUGUAGGAAUAAAGUUGGAGGUUACAUCUGUAGCUGUUUGGUAAAAUAUACUUUAUUCAACUUUCUGGCUGGUAUUAUAGAUUAUGAUCAUCCGGAUUGUUACGAGAACAAUAGUCAAGGGACGACACAGUCAAACGUGGAUAUUUGGGAAAAUCUGAGAAGAAAUGGAAGCAGAGAGGACUUUGCAAGAAGGGCUACUCAACUAAUUCAAAGCGUGGAGUUGAGCAUCUGGAAUGCGAGUUUUGCUUCUCCAGGAAAGGGUCAAAUUUCUGAAUUUGAUAUAGUCUAUGAAACCAAGAGGUGCAAUGAGACAAGGGAGAAUGCUUUUCUGGAAGCUGGAAAUAACACCAUGGAUAUCAACUGUGCUGAUGCUUUAAAAGGAAACCUAAGAGAGAGCACUGCAGUUGCCCUAUCACUUAUCAAUCUCUUGGGGAUAUUCUGAAUGCAUCCUUUUUUAGUAAACGAAAAGGGAUGCAGGAAGUAAAACUGAACUCUUACGUUGUGAGCGGCACCGUCGGUUUGAAGGAAAAAAUUUCCCUCUCUGAACCUGUGUUCCUGACUUUUCGCCAUAAUCAGCCUGGUGACAAGAGAACAAAACAUAUCUGUGUCUACUGGGAGGGAUCAGAGGGAGGCCGCUGGUCCACGGAGGGCUGCUCUCAUGUGCACAGCAACGGUUCUUACACCAAAUGCAAGUGCUUCCAUCUGUCCAGCUUUGCCGUCCUCGUGGCUCUUGCCCCCAAGGAGGACCCUGUGCUGACCGUGAUCACCCAGGUGGGGCUGACCAUCUCUCUGCUGUGCCUCUUCCUGGCCAUCCUCACCUUCCUCCUGUGCCGGCCCAUCCAGAACACCAGCACCUCCCUCCAUCUAGAGCUCUCCCUCUGCCUCUUCCUGGCCCACCUCCUGUUCCUGACGGGCAUCAACAGAACUGAGCCUGAGGUGCUGUGCUCCAUCAUUGCAGGGCUGCUGCACUUCCUCUACCUGGCUUGCUUCACCUGGAUGCUCCUGGAAGGGCUGCACCUCUUCCUCACCGUCAGGAACCUCAAGGUGGCCAACUACACCAGCACGGGCAGAUUCAAGAAGAGGUUCAUGUACCCUGUAGGCUACGGGAUCCCAGCUGUGAUUAUUGCUGUGUCAGCAAUAGUUGGACCCCAGAAUUAUGGAACAUUUACUCACUGUUGGCUCAAGCUUGAUAAAGGAUUCAUCUGGAGCUUCAUGGGGCCAGUAGCAGUCAUUAUCUUGAUAAACCUGGUGUUCUACUUCCAAGUUCUGUGGAUUUUGAGAAGCAAACUUUCCUCCCUCAAUAAAGAAGUUUCCACCAUUCAGGACACCAGAGUCAUGACAUUUAAAGCCAUUUCUCAGCUAUUUAUCCUGGGCUGUUCUUGGGGCCUUGGUUUUUUUAUGGUUGAAGAAGUAGGGAAGACGAUUGGAUCAAUCAUUGCAUACUCAUUCACCAUCAUCAACACCCUUCAGGGAGUGUUGCUCUUUGUGGUACACUGUCUCCUUAAUCGCCAGGUUCGAAUGGAAUAUAAAAAGUGGUUUAGUGGGAUGCGGAAAGGGGUAGAAACUGAAAGCACUGAGAUGUCUCGCUCUACUACCCAAACCAAAACGGAAGAAGUGGGGAAGUCCUCAGAAAUCUUUCAUAAAGGAGGCACUGCAUCAUCAUCUGCAGAGUCAACCAAGCAACCGCAGCCACAGGUUCAUCUCGUCUCUGCUGCUUGGCUAAAGAUGAACUGACCUGGCAAGUGCCAUGGCAAUGACCCGGAAGUUACCGCUCCUUUCCGUUUGUCUACAGCGCCCCUGUGGUCACACAUAGAUUGGACAAAUGCCACUAUUUCUAGCUUUCCUGUGAAAAGUCUAGGCUCAUUCACCUAUUUUGGCUUUUUAUGUUCAUAGAAAGAACAAGACAUUUGGGAGAAUUCUUAGAUCCAGAGUCCAGUAGUGUGGCACGUGCAAUGAAGUGUCGGAAGGAUGCAUUUUAAAGAUGGCGGGCGGGAGAAGUGGAUUUUCUUCUUGCAGCUACUGCCACCUUGCCAGAAACUCACUAACUGGCAUCUGGAUUCAGCUCAUAGUUCCCUUUCUGGCCUCUCUGCUGUAUUUUAUGCUCCCAAAGAUCUUACAUUAACACUCCACAUUCACAUAAUUCAACAAUUUUCAUAUGGAUCAGUAUUAAAGAGGGUGUUGCAUUUUGCAAUACAAAAAUGCAUUAUCAGGUGCUGGAGAGGAUGUGGAGAAAUAGGAACACUUUUACACUGUUGGUGGGACUGUAAACUAGUUCAACCAUCGUGGAAGUCAGUGUGGCGAUUCCUCAGGGAUCUAGAACUAGAAAUACCAUUUGACACAGCUAUCCCAUUACUGGGUAUAUACCCAAAGGACUAUAAAUCAUGCUGCUAUAAAGACACAUGCACACGUAUGUUUAUUGUGGCAUUA
Long non-coding RNA from Homo sapiens (human), 2810 nucleotides. NCBI's taxonomy places the organism in Eukaryota, Metazoa, Chordata, Mammalia, Primates, Hominidae. The record is from Ensembl.